ACCACCCAAAAUGUAGAGAUUCCA
Molecule: non-coding RNA, 24 nt
Filed under: Arabidopsis thaliana (thale cress)
Lineage: Eukaryota; Viridiplantae; Streptophyta; Magnoliopsida; Brassicales; Brassicaceae
Source: RNAcentral